RNAcentral lists this ribosomal RNA (253 nucleotides) under uncultured bacterium. Its description in RNAcentral is "partial 16S ribosomal RNA". It matches the Rfam family "Bacterial small subunit ribosomal RNA", at positions 524 to 776 of the family's 1533-position model. The record is from RNAcentral.
UACAGAGGUCCCAAGCGUUGUUCGGAUUCACUGGGCGUAAAGGGUGCGUAGGUGGCCGGGUAAGUCUAAUGUGAAAUCUCCGAGCUUAACUCGGAAACUGCAUCGGAUACUAUCCGGCUAGAGGAAUGGAGGGGAGACUGGAAUACUUGGUGUAGCAGUGAAAUGCGUAGAUAUCAAGUGGAACACCAGUGGCGAAGGCGAGUCUCUGGACAUUUCCUGACGCUGAGGCACGAAAGCUAGGGGAGCAAACAGG